Oncorhynchus gorbuscha (pink salmon) is the source of this 696-nucleotide long non-coding RNA. RefSeq lists it as uncharacterized. The record is from RefSeq and is a predicted model, not a curated record. Lineage: Eukaryota; Metazoa; Chordata; Actinopteri; Salmoniformes; Salmonidae. The transcript has 2 exons.
GUGUGGAAAGAGUUUUAACCGGUUAGGUAACCUGAAAUCACACGAGAGGACACACAAAGAAGAAGAGCCACAUCACUGCUCCCAGUGUGGAAAGAAUUUUACCUCAUUACGCUUUCUGAAGAAUCAUGAGCAAAGACACACCGGGGAAAUGCCUUUCCGCUGCUCCCAGUGUGGAAUUAAAUUUACCUGGUUACGCCAACUGAAAUCACAUGAAAGAAUCCACACAUGAAAUGUUACGAAUGCUCCCAGUGUAGAAAGAUAUUUACCCAGUUCAGGCACCUGAAAGACUAAGGUUACACACACAGGGGAGAAGCUUUACUCAUGCUCCCAAUGUGGAGAGUGAUUUUUCACAUACUUACAAUUCAUGAGGUAACACGCACAUUGAGGUAACACACUUCUCAUCCUCAAUUCACGAGGUAACACACUUCUCAUCUUAUACUGAAAAGUGGUGCUUUGUGGUUUUGUUUAUGCUCUUUUUUCCAUAUGAAAUCAAAUUGGAGAAAACCUACUCAAAAAUACAUUUGUAUGUUUUAUGUUUUUAAAUCACAAGAUAUUAAUUGAAUAUGGAGUGUGUCAGUUUUUAUGUAGAUUCUAUGUACACUCUCUCUGUGUACACUACACUCUCUGUGUACACUACACUCUCUCUGUGUACACUACACUAUCUCUGUGAUUAAAUAGUCUUCUUUUUUUACUCUG